AAAGAAAGAAGAGAUAAAAGAGGAAGGGAAGACAGGGAAAAGAAGGAAGAAAAGAGAGGCGACUCCUAGCAGCGGCCGAGCUUACAGAGAGAAGGGUGGAGGUGUGUGGUGGAAGGGGAAAGCCGGCCGGCUGGCAAAGCGCUGCGGAGAAAGACACGAGGCUCCUGAGCAGGGAAAGCCGAGGUUGCCACCGCAGGCCUGGCACGACCAGGGCCGUGAUGCCCCGCCCGGCCCGACCCCCGCGCGCAGAGGUACCUGGAGACGAUUUCAACUGAAGUAAUGAAGGCAGUGUCGUGCUGUCGAGAGAAAGGUGGAUCCCAACAACAGGAAACUACCUAAAUCACCGACCAGUUCUGGUGCUGCCCGCGAAGGGCUGCCUCGCCCGCCGCCGCCGCCGCCUCCGCCGCUGCCGCCGCCGCCAAGGAGAGAACCCUGCCAUCGCGCCUGGCCCGGCCCAGCCCAGCCCCUAGGCAACCUGCGCCCGCCAGUGCAACAGAGUGCCCCAGGCGGCCGCAAAUGCGUCAAGGAAGGGGAAGCCACAGGCCCCAGUAAGCCAAAGUCAAGCCCGUUUGCCAACCUGCAUGUCCAUGCCUGUAAGCCCUUCUCUUGGCCAAGGAAGAAAGGAAGAAAGAAAAAAGAAACCCAGGGGCCUGUAUCCCCUGAUUAAACACAGCACAGCACUCCAGGCAGACAUGCCCGGUGGCGGCUCCUUUGCACCAUUGACCUCAGGCCAGACACCUCAGCGCCAACAAUGGGACCUCGGCCUUCCGGCUAGGUUUGCCCCAGGCUGGGCAGGAAACCAGCUCGGCCGAAGACAGGGGCCAUUUCGAGCAGUGGGACCCCAAGACAGCAAACCCAGCCCAGUCAGGACUUGACACUUAGGACAAUAUCUAUCUCUAUAGAAUUUUAGCAUGAUAUGGCUUUUUCCCCCAGAAAACAACAAAUAAACCAGCACCAAGCAAACACAAAGAAACAAAAAGUCAGAACAAACCAGCCCUGCACAGAUGUAACGGCCCAGGAGAUGGCGAGUGUGGGAGGGAGGAACAGGGCUCCAGCACAGGUGCGAGUUCCUGGGCAGAGCCUGAAGACAGAGGGAGGGGACCAGCGCUCGGGAAGUGAAAAAACCGCGUCGCCUGGAGAUUCAUCAGGAAAAAUUAAAGU
Homo sapiens (human) is the source of this 1161-nucleotide long non-coding RNA. Ensembl annotates it as HOXA10 antisense RNA. Its record names the gene HOXA10-AS. The record is from Ensembl. Lineage: Eukaryota; Metazoa; Chordata; Mammalia; Primates; Hominidae.